This 497-nucleotide ribosomal RNA is filed under the name uncultured bacterium. RNAcentral's name for it is "partial 16S ribosomal RNA". It matches the Rfam family "Bacterial small subunit ribosomal RNA", at positions 28 to 507 of the family's 1533-position model. The record is from RNAcentral.
GAUGAACGCUGGCGGCGUGCCUAAUACAUGCAAGUCGAGCGAACAGACGAGGAGCUUGCUCCUCUGACGUUAGCGGCGGACGGGUAAGUAACACGUGGAUAACCUACCUAUAAGACUGGGAUAACUUCGGGAAACCGGAGCUAAUACCGGAUAAUAUAUUGAACCGCAUGGUUCAAUAGUGAAAGACGGUUUUGCUGUCACUUAUAGAUGGAUCCGCGCCGCAUUAGCUAGUUGGUAAGGUAACGGCUUACCAAGGCAACGAUGCGUAGCCGACCUGAGAGGGUGAUCGGCCACACUGGAACUGAGACACGGUCCAGACUCCUACGGGAGGCAGCAGUAGGGAAUCUUCCGCAAUGGGCGAAAGCCUGACGGAGCAACGCCGCGUGAGUGAUGAAGGUCUUCGGAUCGUAAAACUCUGUUAUUAGGGAAGAACAAAUGUGUAAGUAACUAUGCACGUCUUGACGGUACCUAAUCAGAAAGCCACGGCUAACUACGUG